CAAUAGCGUAUAUUAAAGUUGUUGCAGUUAAAAAGCUCGUAGUCGAAUUUCUGUACGUGCCCAGUUCUGGCUUCGGUCAAGCUCGGGCGCGUGCAUCCGCUUGCAAACUUGGACCGGCCUUCACUGGUCGACCAAGGGAGUAGGCUUUUUACCUUGAAAAAAUUAGAGUGUUUCAAGCAGGCAAUGGCUCGAAUACAUUAGCAUGGAAUAAUGGAAUAGGACUUUUGUCCAUUUGAUUGGUUAUUGGACUUAGGUAAUGAUUAAAAGGGACAGUUGGGGGCAUUAGUAUUUAAUUGUCAGAGGUGAAAUUCUUGGAUUUAUUAAAGACUAACUUAUGCGAAAGCAUUUGCCAAGGAUGUUUUCAUUAA
RNAcentral lists this ribosomal RNA (368 nucleotides) under uncultured eukaryote. RNAcentral's name for it is "partial 18S ribosomal RNA". It matches the Rfam family "Eukaryotic small subunit ribosomal RNA", at positions 592 to 976 of the family's 1831-position model. The record is from RNAcentral.